AUUUCUCAAAAAUGGAAUUCUUUCCUUGUCCUUCGUAUCUUCCCCUAUUAUGUAGCUUAUAUUGAACUGGUAUUCUUCAAAACUGAACUACUUCCCAUGUAGUUCGCCCAAAUUCAGGUUCAAAAGGCUCACUCGCAUCCUCCAUUCCCAUAUAUCUCCCCUACACUUAUCUGAUCUCCAUCUCCACCCGGUUUCUGCACUCACACCACUUCUCUAUAGAAGAACCCCACCAUAAUAUGUCUCUAUUCAUCUCUAAACCCUUAUCCUACAACCACUCUCUGCCUAAUCGCUACCACCCACCCAAUUUCCUCUCUUCGGAAUUAAUGACCUAGCCUCAUCUCUCCACCUUCAACCACUACUACAAUUACCAGACUUCAAUAGCGAUCUGUUUCUUGGGGAUUCGGAUCUAAAUCUCAGCUGGUGAUAUGUUUCUUGGGUUUUCUUCUCAAGAAUCUUCAAAGAAACAGACCAGCUAAAGUUGGAUACAGGAUGCUAGGAACAGAGGGUCCAAUGUUAUGGGUGGUUUACCUGGGUUUGGUUUCUUUAUUUCUUUUUAUAUGUGGGUUCUUAUUUUUUUUUCCUUUGAUUUUACCCAAUAUUUUUCUAAUAUAUGUUGUUAUUUUAUCUUUAAAAUGUUAGUUGAUCAGGUGAUUCAAAGCUUUCUUUGGUUGUCUCAUUUUUUGUUAAACCAAUGGACAAAGCCAGGUUUUAGAUUUCUUCAAGCAAGCAAAAAAAAAAAAAGGCUGAAAUAUGGUAUUAAUUAUGUGAUUCAAGCAUUUGUUGGUUCUUUCAUGAUUUUUUACUAACAAAUCUGCAUAAGGUCAUAAGGUCAUUAUUUCCAUCCUAAUUUUCCCCUUUCAUAAAAAUAUUUAUUAUUUCACUAUUUCAAGCUAAAAACGUGAUUUUUAUUGUUCUCUUCUGUUAUUUGUUUAGUAGUUGAGAAAAUAUUGCUGACACGGAAGACGAGGAAGAGAUUGUGAGACACAAGGAACAAAGGAAUGACACAUAUACAAAGGAAGCUCCUGUUCAUGCUUCAAAACUUUUACAGCUUAUGUUUAUUCUCUUUUCCUUACUUCAGCUUGCACAAAGAUAAAACUAAAGAUAAUGCAAUUUUUAAUACUUAUUACUUAUUUCAAAAUGAAAAAUUUAAUGUUUAGCUACGGUUUUUUUUUAAUUAUUAGUAUUUUAUCCUUUGUAAUGGUUAAUUAGACUGAUCUUUUAGUCUAUACCUAUGAAAAGCGGUUAGUUAUUAUAUUUGAAUUUAUGUUUAUCCUUUGUAACGGUCAAUAAAAAUGGAUUGAUAGAUAAUAUAUUAUGUGUUUUUAUUCUUAAUACAUGAUGCAUUUAUGUUUACUUAAGGAAUGCGUUAAUUUUUUUUAAGAAUAAAUAAUUUGAAAUAGUAUUUUAGUUAUAUAAUUUUUACUUUUAUAGAAAUGAUAUGCCAUCGAAUAAAGAAAACAAAUAUCAGUGAAGGUAUAUGCCUAUGUAAAUGAGAUUUUGUAGUAACCAGAAUUGUUAUAAUACGUAAAUGUUUUGUUUUGAUUGGAAUACAACAUGAUUAUUAUAGUGUUUUGUUGAAUACUCCCUUAUGCAUAUUAUCUUUUUUUUAUAACUUAAUUAGUUUAUGUCUACUAUCAAUAGUUAUUUGACCAAUUUUUUAAUUUUUGUUUUUAUCUCUCAACUUUCACAAUUCAUUAAAAUUAUAACAUAGUUUCAUGGUUUUUAUUUCUCAACUUUCAGAAUUGAAUAAAAUUAUAACCUCCAUUUCGUGAUUUUAUCUCUCAACUUUCAGACAAGUUUUGCGGUGAGUCGUGGAACACGGGCAUAGACUGUGGAUAGUAGCCUACGAAUGUUGCCUCCUUCAUCUUCGAUUAUCAAGUUGCGGUUAACUAUAAAUAUGAGAGCACUAACCGAUCAAUGAUUCUCAGAAUUUCUAUUACGUGUCGGUGAUGGAGUUGACGAAACGGUGCACGAAAACUUUACUUGCAUCCCAGAUGAUAUGGUAUGUAUAUUCCAGACCCAGUAUCCGCACAUGGCCAACUUUAUGUUGCAUUCUCCAGAGGGGUCUCACGUGGCAAUACCAAAAUGUUAGUGAAGCCUAACGAAAAUUUCAAAGGUUAUGGAGUCUAUACAACAAACGUGGUAUAUAAAGAAGUGUUGCGAGAUUAAUAAUGUAUUAGCAGUUAUGUGUUUUUAUACAUUUCCAUAUUUGGUGUAUUCAUAUGUAAUUCUAUUAUUAUUGUUUGAACGACUUACACGAUUUAUAUUU
This is a non-coding RNA of Lactuca sativa (garden lettuce), 2269 nucleotides long. The record is from RefSeq and is a predicted model, not a curated record. Lineage: Eukaryota; Viridiplantae; Streptophyta; Magnoliopsida; Asterales; Asteraceae.